UCUAUAUGGGGAUUUAUAUAGUCUGGCCUGCUCACUGAAUAAAAUUUAAAGAGCCGCGGUAAUUUGACCGUGCAAAGGUAGCAUAAUCAUUAGUUUUUUAAUUGGAAGCUUGUAUGAAUGGUUAAACAAAAGAAAUUCUGUCUCUUUUUUAUAAGUUGAAUUUAACUUUUAAGUGAAAAGGCUUAAUUUUUUUAGGGGGACGAUAAGACCCUAUAAAGCUUUAUAAAAAAAUAAUUAUUUUUAAUAUAAUUAUUAUAAAGAAAUAAAUUAUUUUUUUAUUUUAUUGGGGCGAUAUAGAUAAAAAUAUGGUUAACUGUUUAUUAUAAAAACAUUUAUAUAUGAUAAUAAAUGAUCCUUAGUAUAAAGAUUAGAAGACAAAGUUACUUUAGGGAUAACAGCGUUAUUUCUUUUAAGAGUUCUUAUUGAAAAAGAAGUUUGCGACCUCGAUGUUGAAUUAAAAUAUCUUUACAGUGUAGCCGUUGUAAGAAGAAGGUCUGUUCGACCUUUAAAAUUUUACA
This 518-nucleotide ribosomal RNA is filed under the name Macrocoeloma subparellelum. RNAcentral's name for it is "partial 16S ribosomal RNA". It matches the Rfam family "Bacterial large subunit ribosomal RNA", at positions 1830 to 2600 of the family's 2925-position model. Lineage: Eukaryota; Metazoa; Arthropoda; Malacostraca; Decapoda; Majidae. The record is from RNAcentral.